UUCUUCACCCCUACACACAGUUACUUGCAUAAUUGACGUUAUUCAGUAGCUGCUAUAUCUUGAAAAAUUUCAACUAGGCUUCAAUCCCUUGAUUGAGGAUUGUGAUGGUAUCUUUGUUAUGCCAUCCUGUUUUCCUAGUAAUUCAAUCCAGACUCAGCAUGUAGUUUGAUAUGGAAGCUUUAUAUCAGUUCUUGUCCUGUUGCUUAUGAUUAUGGGAGAAAAAAGAAAAUAAGCUGAAAGUUUGACCCUUAGUUUUGGUUGUUGAUGCAGUGGCAAGUCGGUUGAGGUUAAGCCUGUUAUCAGUGCAGCAGAAUGUGUUAUUGUAAGUUGGAGAAAAUCUAUUGGUAUAGAAUUGAAACUAUUUAUGACGAUUGCUUGAUAUGUUCCAUUUUUCUCUUAGAUUAAUAGAGCUCUAUUUCUAUUCUAAAGAAAACGUGAAUUAGAGCUCUAUUUUCUGCAGCAUGCAUCAUAAUUCAUAAACGUAUAUUAGCCCUGAUUAUGCCACUUUAACCUAAAAAUUCUCAGGAUCUGUUAUUUGCAUGAGAUUAAAUGGUCAUAAGAUGCCCCAUACAUUAGGAAUCAGAUUCUAGUGGUUUCUGACUUAUUUGAUAUUUGCAUCUGAUGAGAUCAGUUUCACGUCUAGGAAAAAUUUGUGUUUGGGAAAAUUAUGUUCAAACUUCCAGUUUCAUGAAAUGCUCCAUUCAUAUAAUUCCUAAACUAAGAUUUCGAUUAAUUACUAGUUUCAGUUAUACAAUAGCAGUUAACUUUUGAGCCACUUAACUUUCUGUGCUGUAUUUAUGACAGG
Molecule: long non-coding RNA, 805 nt
Filed under: Ricinus communis (castor bean)
Lineage: Eukaryota; Viridiplantae; Streptophyta; Magnoliopsida; Malpighiales; Euphorbiaceae
Description: long non-coding RNA (RCOM_LNC000063)
Source: RNAcentral